Molecule: ribosomal RNA, 873 nt
Filed under: Bacteroidales bacterium H7
Lineage: Bacteria; Pseudomonadati; Bacteroidota; Bacteroidia; Bacteroidales
Description: bacterial SSU rRNA
Rfam family: Bacterial small subunit ribosomal RNA
Source: RNAcentral
AGAGUUUGAUCCUGGCUCAGGAUGAACGCUAGCGACAGGCCUAACACAUGCAAGUCGAGGGGCAGCGGGGAGGUAGCAAUACCUUUGCCGGCGACCGGCGCACGGGUGAGUAACACGUAUGCAAUCCACCUGUAACAGGGGGAUAACCCGGAGAAAUCCGGACUAAUACCCCAUAAUAUGGGCUCUCCGCAUGGAGAGCCCAUUAAAGAGAGCAAUUUUGGUUACAGACGAGCAUGCGCUCCAUUAGCCAGUUGGCGGGGUAACGGCCCACCAAAGCGACGAUGGAUAGGGGUUCUGAGAGGAAGGUCCCCCACAUUGGAACUGAGACACGGUCCAAACUCCUACGGGAGGCAGCAGUGAGGAAUAUUGGUCAAUGGUCGGCAGACUGAACCAGCCAAGUCGCGUGAGGGAAGACGGCCCUACGGGUUGUAAACCUCUUUUGUCGGAGAGUAAAGUACGCUACGUGUAGUGUAUUGCAAGUAUCCGAAGAAAAAGCAUCGGCUAACUCCGUGCCAGCAGCCGCGGUAAUACGGAGGAUGCGAGCGUUAUCCGGAUUUAUUGGGUUUAAAGGGUGCGUAGGCGGCACGCCAAGUCAGCGGUGAAAUUUUCGGGCUCAACCCGGACUGUGCCGUUGAAACUGGCGAGCUAGAGUACACAAGAGGCAGGCGGAAUGCGUGGUGUAGCGGUGAAAUGCAUAGAUAUCACGCAGAACCCCGAUUGCGAAGGCAGCCUGCUAGGGUGAAACAGACGCUGAGGCACGAAAGCGUGGGUAUCGAACAGGAUUAGAUACCCUGGUAGUCCACGCAGUAAACGAUGAAUACUAACUGUUUGCGAUACAAUGUAAGCGGUACAGCGAAAGCGUUAAGUAUUCCA